UACGGAGGGUGCGAGCGUUGUCCGGAAUCAUUGGGCGUAAAGGGCGCGUAGGUGGCCUGGUAAGCGUGCGGUGAAAGCCUGGGGCUCAACCCCGGGUCGGCCGUGCGAACUGCUAGGCUUGAGCACUGUAGAGGCAGGCGGAAUUCCGGGUGUAGCGGUGGAAUGCGUAGAGAUCCGGAAGAACACCGGUGGCGAAAGCGCUCUGCUAGGCCGCAACUGACACUGAGGGACGAAAGCUAGGGGAGCGAAUGGG
This 253-nucleotide ribosomal RNA is filed under the name uncultured bacterium. RNAcentral's name for it is "partial 16S ribosomal RNA". It matches the Rfam family "Bacterial small subunit ribosomal RNA", at positions 524 to 776 of the family's 1533-position model. The record is from RNAcentral.